AGCGGCGGACGGGUGAGUAACACGUGGGUAACCUACCUAUAAGACUGGAAUAACUUCGGGAAACCGGAGCUAAUGCCGGAUAACAUAUAGAACCGCAUGGUUCUAUAGUGAAAGAUGGUUUUGCUAUCACUUAUAGAUGGACCCGCGCCGUAUUAGCUAGUUGGUAAGGUAAAGGCUUACCAAGGCGACGAUACGUAGCCGACCUGAGAGGGUGAUCGGCCACACUGGAACUGAGACACGGUCCAGACUCCUACGGGAGGCAGCAGUAGGGAAUCUUCCGCAAUGGGCGAAAGCCUGACGGAGCAACGCCGCGUGAGUGAUGAAGGUUUUCGGAUCGUAAAACUCUGUUAUUAGGGAAGAACAAAUGCGUAAGUAACUGUGCGCAUCUUGACGGUACCUAAUCAGAAAGCCACGGCUAACUACGUGCCAGCAGCCGCGGUAAUACGUAGGUGGCAAGCGUUAUCCGGAAUUAUUGGGCGUAAAGCGCGCGUAGGCGGUUUCUUAAGUCUGAUGUGAAAGCCCACGGCUCAACCGUGGAGGGUCAUUGGAAACUGGGAAACUUGAGUGCAGAAGAGGAAAGUGGAAUUCCAUGUGUAGCGGUGAAAUGCGCAGAGAUAUGGAGGAACACCAGUGGCGAAGGCGACUUUCUGGUCUGUAACUGACGCUGAUGUGCGAAAGCGUGGGGAUCAAACAGGAUUAGAUACCCUGGUAGUCCACGCCGUAAACGAUGAGUGCUAAGUGUUAGGGGGUUUCCGCCCCUUAGUGCUGCAGCUAACGCAUUAAGCACUCCGCCUGGGGAGUACGACCGCAAGGUUGAAACUCAAAGGAAUUGACGGGGACCCGCACAAGCGGUGGAGCAUGUGGUUUUAUUUCGAAGCAACGCGAAGAACCUUACCAAAUCUUGACAUCCUUUGAAAACUCUAGAGAUAGAGCCUUC
This 937-nucleotide ribosomal RNA is filed under the name bacterium STEC-6. RNAcentral describes it as "bacterial SSU rRNA". It matches the Rfam family "Bacterial small subunit ribosomal RNA", at positions 94 to 1016 of the family's 1533-position model. The record is from RNAcentral.